This 525-nucleotide ribosomal RNA is filed under the name uncultured Hydrogenophilaceae bacterium. RNAcentral's name for it is "bacterial SSU rRNA". It matches the Rfam family "Bacterial small subunit ribosomal RNA", at positions 8 to 526 of the family's 1533-position model. The record is from RNAcentral. Lineage: Bacteria; Pseudomonadati; Pseudomonadota; Hydrogenophilia; Hydrogenophilales; Hydrogenophilaceae.
AGAGUUUGAUCCUGGCUCAGAUUGAACGCUGGCGGAAUGCUUUACACAUGCAAGUCGAACGGCAGCACGGGAGCUUGCUCCUGGUGGCGAGUGGCGGACGGGUGAGUAACGCGUCGGAACGUACCGAGUAAUGGGGGAUAACGCAGCGAAAGUUGUGCUAAUACCGCAUACGCCCUGAGGGGGAAAGUGGGGGAUCGCAAGACCUCACGUUAUUCGAGCGGCCGACGUCUGAUUAGCUUGUUGGUGGGGUAAUGGCCUACCAAGGCGACGAUCAGUAGCGGGUCUGAGAGGAUGAUCCGCCACACUGGAACUGAGACACGGUCCAGACUCCUACGGGAGGCAGCAGUGGGGAAUUUUGGACAAUGGGGGCAACCCUGAUCCAGCCAUUCCGCGUGAGUGAAGAAGGCCUUCGGGUUGUAAAGCUCUUUCAGCCGGAACGAAACGGUAUGUCUUAAUACGAUGUGCUAAUGACGGUACCGGCAGAAGAAGCACCGGCUAACUACGUGCCAGCAGCCGCGGUAAUAC